UUUAAAGUGGCAGAUUAAUGCGAGAAAUUUAAGCUUUCUUUAUGAUUUGAUCCUUUAAUA
RNAcentral lists this transfer RNA (60 nucleotides) under Alectorobius guaporensis. RNAcentral describes it as "tRNA-Leu". Lineage: Eukaryota; Metazoa; Arthropoda; Arachnida; Ixodida; Argasidae. The record is from RNAcentral.